UUUAAUGGAGAGUUUGAUCCUGGCUCAGGACGAACGCUGGCGGCGUGCCUAAUACAUGCAAGUCGAGCGGGGUU
RNAcentral lists this ribosomal RNA (74 nucleotides) under Paenibacillus polymyxa. RNAcentral describes it as "partial 16S ribosomal RNA". It matches the Rfam family "Bacterial small subunit ribosomal RNA", at positions 1 to 73 of the family's 1533-position model. RNAcentral also lists the same sequence under 5 other names. The record is from RNAcentral. Lineage: Bacteria; Bacillati; Bacillota; Bacilli; Caryophanales; Paenibacillaceae.